Molecule: ribosomal RNA, 253 nt
Filed under: uncultured bacterium
Lineage: Bacteria
Description: partial 16S ribosomal RNA
Rfam family: Bacterial small subunit ribosomal RNA
Source: RNAcentral
UACAGAGGUCCCAAGCGUUGUCCGGAAUUACUGGGUGUAAAGGGUCCGCAGGCGGGCGAGCAAGUCGGUGGUGAAAGUUCACGGCUCAACCGUGAAAUUGCCUUCGAUACUGCUUGUCUUGAGUUCGAGAGAGGAUAAUGGAAUUCAUGGUGUAGCGGUGAAAUGCGUAGAGAUCAUGAAGAACACCAGUAGCGAAGGCGGUUAUCUGGCUCGAUACUGACGCUCAGGGACGAAAGCGUGGGUAGCAAACAGG